Oryzias melastigma (Indian medaka) is the source of this 1378-nucleotide long non-coding RNA. RefSeq lists it as uncharacterized. The record is from RefSeq and is a predicted model, not a curated record. Lineage: Eukaryota; Metazoa; Chordata; Actinopteri; Beloniformes; Adrianichthyidae. The transcript is spliced from 3 exons.
UGUGUGAUUGAAUUGGACACCCCUGCUGUAUUAUGAGAAAAAUGCUACAAAAACAUGUUAAAUACACAAAAAAAGAGGAUUUUCAUUGGGGUGGGUCUGUAUUGUGCCUGAUAGUUCAGUGCGGCUUAUUUUAGACAAGUUUGAAAAUAAUCUAUUCAUUGCUGGUAUGCCUUAAAAUCUUAAAGUGCAGAAACAACAACAACAACAAAAACGGUAAUUGAAAUAAGAAUAAGACACCCCGCUGUAUGUUGAUUCAAGUGGCCCAUAAUGAGCUAUAUGAUAAAACAAAGAUUGUUCUGUAAUCAUAACGAAGCCUUUCCGACUUAAAGUGCAUUCUGCAGGUUAUUUAUGGCUUCUUAAUAUGCUGGUGUUGCUCUGGCUCCGUUCAUGUUCCCUGAGAGACGGUGAGAAUCAAACCAGCUCUGACAGGCUCUGUCCAUCCGCGUCCCCUCUGACACUGCAGGGUCAACGGCUGCACCCUCCUCUGAACAUGCACCCUGCCAAGUUUGCCUGCCUGCUAUCAAUGACAGCAAGUGGGGAGCGACAGCACACUUCUGGAAAGUCCCAUCCGACAUUCCUGAAGCGUGCCUGAACUUUCCAGUAUGGAUCUCCUAAUCUGAUCUUGGAGUUGCAAUUAUGCCCUUGAAUACCCCACGGAUCCGGAUGAUUAUGAACAUAAAAGAAAAAAAACACUUACACAGUGAAGUGAUACACGAAGCAUCUCCAUCCGGACGGCCUCUCCAGAAAGUUGUACACGCGUCCUUGGAUGUAGGCGCGCGUGAAGACGGGACGGACCCCGGUGCUGUAUACUGACAUCCGGACUGACAUGCGCGGAUGAGAUGGGUGGGUCGUACGCGCUAGAAGGAGUUUGCGCCAACUCCAAGUCCGGCGGUCUUCUUCUUCUUCCACGCGCCAAAGCAGAAAAUGUCCAUGUGUCCUCCUGAGAGGGAGUGGAAGACUUAGACAUUUCUCUUCAGUCAACUUUUCCACUUACUUAUAGGUCACCGACUCCGGCUGACAACUGUUCGUCCAUGUGCGCUCACCUUCUGUUGCGCGCCCGGGACGCGUCAAAGCAGAGCCUGCUUGUUAAUGCGCGUGAUGGCUCCUAAUGCCUUCUCCAACUCCACGUUUCCGCCUGUCUGGGUUGUUGAGGACGCGGUGAGACUCAGCCUUUAAAUGAACACUCUUUACCUCUCUUCCGGAGCACUUAUCAGCCGGUGGAGCUGUCGCGAGGCGGUGCGCUGCGAGCAGCCAGCCAGCUGCUCAGGCUUUAACGGAAAAACCCCCUCAGAGGAUGAAGUUAAGGAGCUCCAUCCUCUUCAUACUACGAGCUUUGCACUAAUUCUUUUCUCCUCAAAAUACAUUGAGCCCCUUAAUA